UAGGCUUUGAAAAGUUAGUAUCAACAAAAAUCAUGAAAGUCUCGAUUACAGUUUCAAAAAUCUGAAAGUAUCAGCAAAUUUUUUUUUUAAUUAAUUUCCUUAAUCUUUCUCUUUUUUGUCCCAUACAAUAGCAAGAAAUAUAACAACAAAAGUUUUCAUGCAAGAAAUCCAAAACAUAAGUCAACAACCACAGUAAAUAAAAUAAAUGCUUUCAAAAAACAAACCAUUAACAACCACAACAAAAUAUAAAAAAUAGUCUAAGAAUUAAAACCAUCAAAGCAAAAUAAAUGAAAAUCGUUGAAUGAAGUUGAUCACGAAGCUUGUAAGCAAUUUCAUUACAAUAUUUCACAAAAGCAUCCAGCCUAGAAGAAAGGGAAUCGCAACCGGCAUUGAUCAAAUGCAUAUUUUUCAGACCGGUAAUUAGCGUUUUCCAACAUCAAAUAACUGAUCUGGGAGUGGGCAAUUUUUAAAGGGGGGAAGAAUAUAACAUCGGAAUAGACAUCGACUUAGGAACCGGAAUAGAAAAAAUAUUUCUUCUAUUAACAUCCAUAGACACAUUAGGAACAUCCUUUGAUAAGUUAGGAUCCACAAGAUCUCGAUCCUCAGGAACCUAAAAAAUAAGAAGAAUAAACAUAAUUCACUACACGAAAACUGCAUAAAAAUGACGGAUCAAAAAUGAGGGAAUUUUUUUCCAUUUUUUUCGAAGUCAGAAAUGAAGGAUUUCCGUCAUUUUUAGCAAAUUUCAAAAAAAAUG
RNAcentral lists this long non-coding RNA (754 nucleotides) under Zostera marina. Its description in RNAcentral is "long non-coding RNA (ZMAR_LNC000497)". Lineage: Eukaryota; Viridiplantae; Streptophyta; Magnoliopsida; Alismatales; Zosteraceae. The record is from RNAcentral.